GAUGAAGAACGUAGCGAAAUGCGAUAAGUAGUGUGAAUUGCAGAAUUCAGUGAAUCAUCGAAUCUUCGAACGCACAUUGCGCCCGUCAGUAUUCUGGCGGGCAUGCCUGUUCGAGCGUCAUUACGCCCCUCAAGUCCCCUGUGGACUUGGUGUUGGGGAUCGGCGAGGCUGGUUUUCCAGCACAGCCGUCCCUUAAAUUAAUUGGCGGUCUCGCCGUGGCCCUCCUCUGCGCAGUAGUAAAACACUCGCAACAGGAGCCCGGCGCGGUCCACUGCCGUAAAACCCCCCAACUUUUUAUAGUUGACCUCGAAUCAGGUAGGACUACCCGCUGAACUUAAGCAUAUCAAUAAGCGGAGGA
Molecule: unclassified non-coding RNA, 358 nt
Filed under: soil metagenome
Description: partial contains 5.8S ribosomal RNA, internal transcribed spacer 2, and large subunit ribosomal RNA
Rfam family: 5.8S ribosomal RNA (bases 1-120)
Source: RNAcentral